This 439-nucleotide ribosomal RNA is filed under the name uncultured forest soil bacterium. RNAcentral describes it as "bacterial SSU rRNA". It matches the Rfam family "Bacterial small subunit ribosomal RNA", at positions 8 to 451 of the family's 1533-position model. The record is from RNAcentral.
AGAGUUUGAUCCUGGCUCAGAUUGAACGCUGGCGGCAUGCCUUACACAUGCAGGUCGAACGGCAGCACGGGGGCACCCUGGCGGCGAGUGGCGAACGGGUGAGUAAUACAUCGGAACGUGUCCUGUAGUGGGGGAUAGCCCGGCGAAAGCCGAUUAAUACCGCAUACGCUCUACGGAGGAAAGCGGGGGACUCGCAAGGCCUCCCGCUAUAGGGGCGGCCGAUGGCCGAUUAGCUUGUUGGUGGGGUAAGGCCUACCAAGGCGACGAUCUGUAGCUGGUCUGAGAGGAGGACCAGCCACACUGGGACUGAGACACGGCCCAGACUCCUACGGGAGGCAGCAGUGGGGAAUUUUGGACAAUGGGGGAAACCCUGAUCCAGCAAUGCCGCGUGUGUGAAGAAGGCCUUCGGGUUGUAAAGCACUUUUGGUCGGAAAGAAAA